This 136-nucleotide ribosomal RNA is filed under the name Salmonella enterica. RNAcentral's name for it is "partial 16S ribosomal RNA". It matches the Rfam family "Bacterial small subunit ribosomal RNA", at positions 1 to 130 of the family's 1533-position model. The record is from RNAcentral. RNAcentral also lists the same sequence under 1 other name. Lineage: Bacteria; Pseudomonadati; Pseudomonadota; Gammaproteobacteria; Enterobacterales; Enterobacteriaceae.
AAAUUGAAGAGUUUGAUCAUGGCUCAGAUUGAACGCUGGCGGCAGGCCUAACACAUGCAAGUCGAACGGUAACAGGAAGCAGCUUGUUGCUUCGCUGACGAGUGGCGGACGGGUGAGUAAUGUCUGGGAAACUGCC